UACAGAGGUCCCAAGCGUUGUUCGGAUUCACUGGGCGUAAAGGGUGCGUAGGUGGUGAGGUAAGUCGGAUGUGAAAUCUCCGAGCUCAACUCGGAAAUGGCAUUGGAAACUACCUUGCUCGAGGGUUGGAGGGGGGACUGGAAUGCUUGGUGUAGCAGUGAAAUGCGUAGAUAUCAAGCGGAACACCAGUGGCGAAGGCGAGUCCCUGGAAAAAUACUGACGCUGAGGCACGAAAGCUAGGGGAGCAAACAGG
This 253-nucleotide ribosomal RNA is filed under the name uncultured bacterium. Its description in RNAcentral is "partial 16S ribosomal RNA". It matches the Rfam family "Bacterial small subunit ribosomal RNA", at positions 524 to 776 of the family's 1533-position model. The record is from RNAcentral.